GACGAUCAGUAGCCGGACUGAGAGGUUGGCCGGCCACAUUGGGACUGAGACACGGCCCAGACUCCUACGGGAGGCAGCAGUGGGGAAUAUUGCGCAAUGGGGGAAACCCUGACGCAGCAACGCCGCGUGAAGGAAGAAGGCCUUCGGGUUGUAAACUUUUGUCUUCAGGGAAGAAUAAAUGACGGUACCUGAGGAGGAAGCCACGGCUAACUACGUGCCAGCAGCCGCGGUAAUACGUAGGUGGCAAGCGUUAUCCGGAAUUACUGGGUGUAAAGGGUGCGUAGGCGGGACUGCAAGUCAGAUGUGAAAUACUAGGGCUCAACCCUAGGGCUGCAUUUGAAACUGUGGUUCUUGAGUGCAGGAGAGGUAAGUGGAAUUCCUGGUGUAGCGGUGAAAUGCGCAGAUAUCAGGAGGAACACCAGCGGCGAAGGCGGCGCUCUGGGCCGGAACUGACGCUGAGGAGCGAAAGCGUGGGUAGCAAACAGGAUUAGAUACCCUGGUAGUCCACGCCGUAAACGUUGGGCACUAGGUGUGGGGUCUAUUCAACGGACUCCGUGCCGUAGCUAACGCAUUAAGUGCCCCGCCUGGGGAGUACGGCCGCAAGGCUAAAACUCAAAGGAAUUGACGGA
This 629-nucleotide ribosomal RNA is filed under the name uncultured bacterium. RNAcentral describes it as "bacterial SSU rRNA". It matches the Rfam family "Bacterial small subunit ribosomal RNA", at positions 275 to 917 of the family's 1533-position model. The record is from RNAcentral.